This 484-nucleotide ribosomal RNA is filed under the name uncultured bacterium. RNAcentral describes it as "partial 16S ribosomal RNA". It matches the Rfam family "Bacterial small subunit ribosomal RNA", at positions 29 to 523 of the family's 1533-position model. The record is from RNAcentral.
AGUGAACGCUGGCGGCGUGCUUAACACAUGCAAGUCGAACGAGAACGGAUUAUAGCUUGCUAUAAUUGUCAGCUAAGUGGCGCACGGGUGAGUAAUGUAUAGGUAAUAUGCCUCUUACUAAGGGAUAACAAAUGGAAACGUUUGCUAAUACCUUAUACUCCUUAUUAACAGAAGUUAAUAAGGGAAAGAUUUAUUGGUAAGAGAUUAGCCUGUAUUGUAUCAGUUAGUUGGGGGGGUAAUGGCUUACCAAGACUAUGACACAUAACUGGUUUGAGAGGAUGAUCAGUCACACUGGAACUGAGACACGGUCCAGACUCCUACGGGAGGCAGCAGUGGGGAAUAUUGCACAAUGGACGAAAGUCUGAUGCAGCAACGCCGCGUGGAGGAUGACUCAUUUCGGUGCGUAAACUCCUUUUAUAUGAGAAGAUAAUGACGGUAUUAUAUGAAUAAGCACCGGCUAACUCCGUGCCAGCCGCCGCGGUAA